CUGUGAUAAGGGUAAACCUGCCAAAAGGCAGGGACGCAAAGCAAUAGGGUCUAAGGUGCUAUUAAGCACUAUGACAGCCUGGCUGCCGCA
Molecule: non-coding RNA, 90 nt
Filed under: Clostridia bacterium
Lineage: Bacteria; Bacillati; Bacillota; Clostridia
Description: c-di-GMP sequence
Rfam family: c-di-GMP-I riboswitch aptamer
About the family: GEMM was predicted in a large-scale screen for bacterial structured RNA regulatory elements. Genes associated with GEMM are involved in a diverse array of functions, including chemotaxis regulation, signal transduction, secretion and chitin.
Source: RNAcentral